UGAUUGGAAGAUAUUUUAUUUCAAAUUUAAAAAAAAAACUUGUAUAAACUGUUCCAUGUCUGCCUGUCUGCCCUUCUUUGCUUUUGGUUGGCUAUGUAGGGGCCGUGCUGUUUCUUUACAUUUUAUUCAUAUUUGUGGGUUAUGUUCAUUGUUUGACUUAACUGUUUCUCAUAAUAAGCUAUGGUGAGAUUCUCCCUGGCAUCUCUUUCCCAUUUUUCUUUUUUCAUCUAAACUCACACUUCUCUUUGACCUGUAGCCUGAGAGUGAGGUAUCUGAGUCCCACCUGCUUUGGUUUUACUGAGAGUAUGGAGAGCGGGGUUCUGAAAGGUGAUGGUGGCCAUUGAGUUUGGGGCAACCUGGCUGUGAUCAUUGUUUUCUGCAAUGUCAUUUGUAGCCCAGUGUCAUAACUCAGUGCACUUAGGCAGGACUCUGUGCUAUCCUAUAUUUAGGGACAGAAAAUUAAAGAGUCCUAAACUCCCAGUUUCAGGGUGGACUCUCUGAAACUUCUAGGGGUUGAAUCAGAGCUUUAGCUGCCAACCUAUGCCGUGGCAACACUGGAACCUUAACCCACUGAGUGAGGCCAGGGAUCAAAUCUGCAUUCUCAUGGACACUGUGUCAGAUUCUUAACCUGCUGAGCCACAGUGGGACCUCCUGAAACUCAAUGACAGAGGCAAUGAGAUCCAAUAACUCAUUUCUCUCAAUGCCCUCCCCUUUUCUCCAGCACCUUUCCCUGUUUCCCUCUCAGAAGAGAAAAUGAAAUAAGGGAACCAUGUAAGUUUGGGCUGCUGGAUUGUUAGUCAGGGAUGGGGAGGGAGGUUAAGGGCAGGGGAAAGAGGACAGGAUGGGAAAUAGGUGAGGGAGAGGCUGUGUUGAAAUCUCCAUUUCUUUUUGUAAAAACAUACCCUGAUGAUCACUGUCUUCCUCUCUUUACUCUUCAACUUGUCUUUUUCACCAGAGGACCCACAAAAUGGCAAGUCCUAAAAGUAUUUCUAGUUCUGGAGAGCCCUUGUAAGAGCAUCAAAGAUCUUGGCAUUCUCGAAGGGUUGUAUACACGUUUCCAAGCUGGUCUACCCACCCCCUAAUUCUCCUUUCUUCCAACCAGGGCUUAAAUAGUGGAGUUUUCAGCAUUCCGUUCCACUCAUUCUCUUUCCUCAAGAUUUGUUUUCUAAGGAAGAAGUCAUAUCAAUUUGUGACAUUGACUGAAUUUUCCUGGUUCUGACUUUUCAAUGGUUCUAGGACAAAGCCUGUUCCUUCCUUGUUUGUAUGCUACGUAUGUAAUAAUUUUUGCAUCUUACUCUUAGGAGUUUUAUUUACUUGGGGAUGGAGGGAGGGCCUGUAGUCUAGCAUUAUUUCACCUUCUCCUGCGGAAGUUCUCACAGAGAGUCAGCAGAGGCACUGAUGGACACUUAGAACUCCAUGAGCCCAUCGGUGUCUCUCCAUCCUCUGCAGGACACAGCCACCUUCCUUAGCAUGGCAUAUCAAGCCCUGUAUGGUCUGGCUCCUUUACUUCUCUCCCAAGGACUCUUUUCAUCUCAAACUCUGCUCUCUGGCAACACUAAACUGUGUGAGUGACUGCACACCACACUAUCCAUGCCUCCUCUGUCUUCUUGUGUCAUCCUCUGCCGUUGAAAAAUGUCUUUGACACAUCUUUUAUUAUUUUCUUCUGUCCUCCCCAAACACACACAUCAGCUUUGCCAGGUAUUCCUCACAGCUUCAUCUUUGUGACCAACUAGCCCCCUGCCCACCCCUCUACUGCCAAAGUUAGGGUCUUUGUCCUCCUUGGACCUGGCUGACCUGUUUCUAUCAUUACAUAUUGCAUUGUUUCUCUUUAUCCUUUUGUAUUAUAGCCAUCUGUAUCUCUGUCUCCUCUGCUUAGAUGUGACCCCUUGAAGCAGGAUUAAUUUUUCUGUAUCAGAGCCCAAUGCCUAGGACAUAGUAGAUUAAAGAAUACACUAUUAAAAUGGAUGAAAAUGAAAACAGCUAAGAGGCUUACUCCUCUAUGGGAUUUAGUUCAAGGCAGUCCUUAGAAUUCUUCCACUAGCAACGGAACAAAAAUUAAAUAAUCUGUGUGGAACCUCUGGCCACUUGUUUCAUCACUUCAAUGAAGUGUCUUAAGUAGAGUCAUUUCUCACAGACAGCUGAUCUAAUCCAUUCUUCAAUAAACAAAGAAUAUGAGAAAUAAAAACUUUCAAGGGAAAAAACUUAUUCUAACUCCACACUUUAGUAAUAGUAUUUGCACUCUGUUUCCAUGCUUUUAUUGUCAUUUUUUCUCUUAGCAUUAAAAAUGGUCUUGAAUUACCUUUGAUCUUCUCUUCUUUCAGCAGAUAGCCAAUGAAUGGGAAAAAAACCAUAGUAAAUGAGGGUAAUAAAAAUUUUAAUAUGUAAAUAACAAUACAAUUUUCUCACAAAGAAAUGAAGGUAAAGAGGCUUAAUUUUUAAACACAUUUGAUUAUCCUACAUUCAAUAGAUAUAUUAUUGCCAAACCCUCCCUUUUUAAAGACAUGCCAUCUAAUAACAUUGAAUGUUAAUAUAUCUUUUGUUUGUUCAGAGUAAACAAAAUGCCAAUGGUAAUUGCCACUAGAAGUUUUAUGAAUGUGGUUGAUUUACUUACAGAAUUUAAUUUAAGAUUUGGAUCCUCUUGCACAUAUUCUGGCCUAAUGAGAUGGCCUUAAACAUAUUUCAAGGAAUUUCUUGGGAAGAAUCAAUUUCUAAGAAAUCAAAGUAAGGAAAGAGUCCAGAGGUAUUUUUGUUUCAUUUCCCUUGAAAGAUUUAGCUGCACACUUACCACGUGUAUUUGUUUAUUACAUUUAAUUUGAAUGUGAGCUAUUUGAGAAAAAUGCCAUUAAAAUAAUUUUCAAAAGACUAUACCUUUUAUACAGAAGAAAAUGUACAGAUAGAGCAGCUGACAAAUAUUUGUAAAAUGUUUGUGCUGCUGACUUAGGAUCUUUACUACAGGUGAAUGGACAAGAUAGAACUGGAUACAGAGAGGUAUUCAAUAGAAAAAAAAUAGAAAAGGAUAUCAAAACAGAAAUAUACUCACAGACAUGGAGAACAAAUUUGUGGUUGCCAGGUGGGGAGGGGAGGGAAUGGGAUGGAUGGGAAGUUUGGGGUUGGUAGAUGCAAACUAUUAUAUUUAGACUAGAGAAGCAAUGAGGUCCUACUGUACAGCACAGGGAACUGUGUCCAAUGUCUUGGAACAGAACAUGAUGGAGGAUAGUAUGAGAAAAAGUAUGUAUACAUAUGUAUGACUGGGUCACUAUGCUGUACAGCAGAAAUUGGCACAACAGUGUAAAUCAACUAUACUUUAAAAAAAAUGUACUGUAAUAGGCAGAAUAAUGCUCCCCAGAGGAAGAUAUUCACAUCCUAAUCAUCAGAAUCUGUCAAUAUGUUUUGUUACAUGUCAAAUUAAGGAAUUAAGUUUGUCGAUAGAAUUAAAGUUGUUAAUCAUCUGACUUUAAAACAAAAAGAUUGUCCUACUUGAUCCAUAUGAGCCCAGUGUACUCAUAAGGGUCCCUAAAGAUGGAAGACAUGGCAAAAGAGGUCAGAGUUACAGAGUUAUUUGACGAUGCUAAGCUUGAAGAUUGAGGAAGGGGCCACCAGUCAAGAAGGGUAGAGAGCCUCUGGGCUAUAGUAGGUGGGGAAACGGAUUCUCCCCAAGAGCCGCCAGAGAGGAACACAGUCCUGCUGAUGACUAGAUUUUAGCCUGAUGAGACGUCCAACGUACCAGACUGUAAAAUCAUCUGUGGUGUUUGUAGUAAUUUGUUACAUUGCAAUAGAAGACGAAUGCAGGUAUCCUCAUAUAACAUAACACUAUGCAGGCAUCAGAAAUAAGAAUACCUAAUGAUGUGGAAAGUAUUCAUGGUGUAUUGUUAGUACAGAACAGCAGAUGAGGAAACACCAUACGCAGUAAAAACAAAAAUAUUUACAUACCUGUUUAGAUAAACUCUGAAAGAUAUAUAAUGUUAUUCAUGUUUUUUAUGGAUUAUUUUUCCUUCUUUUCCUGUAUUUCUCAUUUCUUUUGCAAUCAGAAAAUAAAAUUAAAUGUUGAAAUUGAGUGACCUUAAAAUGGAGUUCCCAUCGUGGCUCAGUGGUUAACGAACCCAGGUAGCAUCCUUUAGGACAUGGGUUUGAUCCCUGACUUUGCUCAGUGGGUUAAGGAUCUGGUGUUGCCAUGAACUUGAUGUAGGUCACAGAUGUGGCUUGGAUCCCUCAUUGCUGUGGCUGUGCUGCAGGCUGGCAGCUACAGUUCUGAUUUCACUCCCUAGCCUAAGAACCUCCAUAUUCCAUGGGCAUGGCCCUAAAAAGACAAAAUAAAUAAAUAAAAAUUUAAAAAAAAGACAAACAAACAAACAAACAAAAAAUACCAAAAAACUAGAUAGGAGAGGAGUUCCCAUCAUGGCCCAGUGGUUAACGAAUCCGACUAGGAACCAUGAGGUUGCGGGUUCGGUCCCUGCCCUUGCUCAGUGGGUUAACGAUCCGGCGUUGCCCUGAGCUGUGGUGUAGGUUGCAGACGCGGCUCGGAUCCUGCGUUGCUGUGGCUCUGGCUAGGCCGGUGGCUACAGCUCCGAUUCGACCCCUAGCCUGGGAGCCUCCAUAUGCUGCGGAAGCGGCCCAAGAAAUAG
This 4622-nucleotide long non-coding RNA is filed under the name Sus scrofa (pig). Its description in RNAcentral is "lncRNA (ENSSSCG00000055978.1)". The record is from RNAcentral. Lineage: Eukaryota; Metazoa; Chordata; Mammalia; Artiodactyla; Suidae.